Long non-coding RNA from Camelus dromedarius (Arabian camel), 847 nucleotides. RefSeq lists it as uncharacterized. The record is from RefSeq and is a predicted model, not a curated record. NCBI's taxonomy places the organism in Eukaryota, Metazoa, Chordata, Mammalia, Artiodactyla, Camelidae. The transcript has 2 exons.
CUCAGAGCUCAUUGCGCCCAGGGGAAGCUCCUGCUGGUGGAGGAGGGCCCUUUGUGAUCAGGGAGUAGAGAGGGUCUGGCAGGGUCCUGCAGAUAGAGCAAGUACCCAGGUGCGGCUCUGAUUCUAUGUGGAAAACCAGGCCUUCACUUCCUUUCUUUCUCUGUGUUUCUGGUUCAUGCAGACCAUGCUUCUGUGGAGCUGGGGAAGGUGUCAGGGUGGGUUGUCCUGCACAGAGAGGCUUCCUGUUUGGGAGGUCCUACUUUAUCAAUUUGCUGGAACCUCUGUACAUCAUCUCAGGCAGGACUCUCGCCUUCCUCCACUUACAGACACCGGCAGUGUCAUGUGGCAACAGUGUUUUAUCCCCAAGGUCGAGUGUGUGGCCCUGUUCUGCUGUCUGGGCACCCGGUGGAGGGGAGGGUGCCCUGUGCUGACAGCUGCUGCAUUGGGUUUCAGGUUCUGUAGGUGUUGUUCCUUUUGUCUGUCAUCCAACACAGCUCUCUCUUCUGUUCUGCAGGUCACUGUGGAUUCCCGAUGUCCCGGUACUUGUGCAGGACCACUUGGUGUGCCUCACCCGAUGGAACACCCAGCAUCACUUCUCAGAGGCUAUUCAUCACCACCACCCCCACCUCUGUUGUGGCCUAUGCGGUCUCACCCACCGCCACCACCACCACCACCAGUUACAGCACUCGCACAGUCCAUUUGCCACAUGAAGGGGCCCCUCAGCUGUGGCAAUGAUGUGUUUAGAGAAGAUGUCAGAGGUGCAUUACGGCCCGAAUGUUUCCCUGCUCCAACCUGCCCCCUCUGCUGUUCUCUCCUAUUGUCACCCCUAAUGAAAUUGUCACAGUUC